UACGUAGGGUGCAAGCGUUGUCCGGAAUUAUUGGGCGUAAAGAGCUCGUAGGCGGUCUGUCGCGUCUGCUGUGAAAAUCCAGGGCUCAACCCUGGACCUGCAGUGGGUACGGGCAGACUAGAGUGCGGUAGGGGAGAUCGGAAUUCCUGGUGUAGCGGUGAAAUGCGCAGAUAUCAGGAAGAACACCCGUGGCGAAGGCGGCUCUCUGGGACGGUACUGACGCUGAGACGCGAAAGCGUGGGGAGCGAACAGG
This 253-nucleotide ribosomal RNA is filed under the name uncultured bacterium. RNAcentral describes it as "partial 16S ribosomal RNA". It matches the Rfam family "Bacterial small subunit ribosomal RNA", at positions 524 to 776 of the family's 1533-position model. The record is from RNAcentral.